CGCUGGGCUAGGAGGGAAGAUGACGUGUCCUGUUUUCCACAAAUCGUCAAUAAUGGUGGUCCGAAGUCUGAGGGCGGCACAAACGAACCGUCGGUAAUGUUUGGGGGGACGGCGAUGCUUCGACCCCGAGAGAUCCAGGUUGGCCAGACCCACAUCCGGAGGGAUGUGGAAAUGGCAUUCACCCGGGAACCAGGUCAGGCGCGGAAGCGAACAGCCCGACUGGGAGCUAUGGAUGCCUCGGGAUUCCGGAGCGGAGAAACCCCGAGUAAUUACUGAAGGCUACGCGUGUCCACCGAUGACGUGCCCACUA
Euryarchaeota archaeon TMED85 is the source of this 310-nucleotide non-coding RNA. The record is from Rfam. Lineage: Archaea; Methanobacteriati; Methanobacteriota.